Molecule: small RNA, 28 nt
Filed under: Bombyx mori (domestic silkworm)
Lineage: Eukaryota; Metazoa; Arthropoda; Insecta; Lepidoptera; Bombycidae
Description: ovarian small RNA-6608
Source: RNAcentral
UAUCUCCUUGAUCAAUCGACAAUUUGUU